UGAGAUGUUGGGUUAAGUCCCGCAACGAGCGCAACCCUCGCCCUUAGUUGCCAUCAUUUAGUUGGGCACUCUAAGGGGACUGCCGGUGAUGAGCCGCGAGGAAGGUGGGGAUGACGUCAAGUCCUCAUGGCCCUUACGGGCUGGGCUACACACGUGCUACAAUGGCGGUGACAAUGGGACGCAAUGGAGCAAUCCUGCGCAAAUCUCAAAAAGCCGUCUCAGUUCGGAUUGGGGUCUGCAACUCGACCCCAUGAAGUCGGAAUCGCUAGUAAUCGCAGAUCAGCACGCUGCGGUGAAUACGUUCCCGGGCCUUGUACACACCGCCCGUCACACCAUGGGAGUUGGCUUUACCUGAAGCCGGUGCGCUAACCGCAAGGAGGCAGGCGACCACGGUAGGGUCAGCGACUGGGGUGAAGUCGUAACAAGGUAA
This 430-nucleotide ribosomal RNA is filed under the name uncultured Alphaproteobacteria bacterium. RNAcentral describes it as "bacterial SSU rRNA". It matches the Rfam family "Bacterial small subunit ribosomal RNA", at positions 1068 to 1499 of the family's 1533-position model. Lineage: Bacteria; Pseudomonadati; Pseudomonadota; Alphaproteobacteria. The record is from RNAcentral.